CCUAGGGGCGCUGCAGUGAGGAAUAUUGCACAAUGGGGGGAACCCUGAUGCAGCAACGCCGCGUGGAGGAUGACGCAUUUCGGUGUGUAAACUCCUUUUAUAUGUCAAGAAAAUGACGGUAGCAUAUGAAUAAGCACCGGCUAACUCCGUGCCAGCAGCCGCGGUAAUACGGAGGGUGCAAGCGUUACUCGGAAUCACUGGGCGUAAAGGACGCGUAGGCGGGUUGGAAAGUCAGGUGUGAAAUCCUACAGCUUAACUGUAGAACUGCACUUGAAACUUCUAAUCUAGAGUAUGGGAGGGGGAGAUGGAAUUAGUGGUGUAGGGGUAAAAUCCGUAGAUAUCACUAGGAAUACCUAAAGCGAAGGCGAUCUCCUGGAACAUUACUGACGCUAAGGCAUGAAAGCGUGGGAAGCAAACAGGAUUAGAUACCCCGGUAGUC
This 439-nucleotide ribosomal RNA is filed under the name uncultured bacterium. RNAcentral describes it as "partial 16S ribosomal RNA". It matches the Rfam family "Bacterial small subunit ribosomal RNA", at positions 338 to 795 of the family's 1533-position model. The record is from RNAcentral.